GACGAACGCUGGCGGCGUGCUUAACACAUGCAAGUCGAACGCUGAGGCUCAGCUUUUGUUGGGUGGAUGAGUGGCGAACGGGUGAGUAACACGUGAGUAACCUGCCUCCUUCUUUGGGAUAACGCCCGGAAACGGGUGCUAAUACUGGAUAUUCACUGGUCUUCGCAUGGGGGUUGGUGGAAAGGGUUUUUCUGGUGGGGGAUGGGCUCGCGGCCUAUCAGCUUGUUGGUGGGGUGAUGGCCUACCAAGGCUUUGACGGGUAGCCGGCCUGAGAGGGUGACCGGUCACAUUGGGACUGAGAUACGGCCCAGACUCCUACGGGAGGCAGCAGUGGGGAAUAUUGCACAAUGGGCGCAAGCCUGAUGCAGCGACGCUGCGUGAGGGAUGGAGGCCUUCGGGUUGUGAACCUCUUUCGCUCAUGGUCAAGCCGCGACAAUGGUUGUGGUGAGGGUAGUGGGUAAAGAAGCGCCGGCUAACUACGUG
This 483-nucleotide ribosomal RNA is filed under the name uncultured bacterium. RNAcentral's name for it is "partial 16S ribosomal RNA". It matches the Rfam family "Bacterial small subunit ribosomal RNA", at positions 28 to 507 of the family's 1533-position model. The record is from RNAcentral.